CAGGGAGGGCAUGUCAGGCUCACAGCUUUUCCCCUCUCCUGCCUGACCCUGGUCCUGCCAAAGGUCCCAGAGCCCUUUGGAACAUCCAGGGAAUUGCAAGAAGACAUCUCAAGCCAUCCUGAUGGGCAGGACUGCAGAUCAGCCUCCUUCCCUGGGGCCCAGCCCACGAAGGUGACUUCUUUGCCUUCAUUCCUUACAGUUAUUCCUGGAUAAUCUGUUAUUUCUGCAGGCCAUGUGUGCUUUGUCCUAUUUAAAGGCAGCUAAAAAUGCUUCGGCAAGGUGAACCCUUUUUCACGGCACCCACGGGACCAUACUUGCAGCGUCCUCCCCUGGUGCUGCCCCUGACCGGGAGUUUUCUCCUCUCCAGCUCCUUCCCGGCUGCUGCUGCUGGAUUCCUCCUCCCAGCUCCCCCUUGCCCCACAGGCAGGGCCAUGCCGGUGAGCGCUGGAUGGUGGGAUUCAGCCCCAAACCCCAGCCGCGCGCUGCCCUCCGUACUCACUCAAAGAAGAGCAGCAGGUCCGGUGGUCCCUGGGCAAACGCGAGGAUGUCGGCAGCGGGCAGGUUGCUGGCUGGGAGACACUGGAAACCUUGCAGGACCGAGGCCGAGAGGCUUUGGUGGGGAAGCACAAUUGCAUUUCACCUUCUACUUUGGCUCCUCAACACCCCAAGGAGAACAAACUGGCUCAUUGCUUUGGGAAACACCCCUUCAACCUGACUGUGUGCGCUUCCACACAGUAAUUUAUGAUCCCGCUCUGAAAUGCCAUCCAGGAUGUGCCACAAGGAAUAAAAAUAAAGAAAGCAAAGCCUUUU
Long non-coding RNA from Cuculus canorus (common cuckoo), 810 nucleotides. RefSeq lists it as uncharacterized. The transcript is spliced from 4 exons. The record is from RefSeq and is a predicted model, not a curated record. NCBI's taxonomy places the organism in Eukaryota, Metazoa, Chordata, Aves, Cuculiformes, Cuculidae.